Non-coding RNA from Gymnothorax javanicus (giant moray), 73 nucleotides. The record is from the annotation of a GenBank genome assembly. NCBI's taxonomy places the organism in Eukaryota, Metazoa, Chordata, Actinopteri, Anguilliformes, Muraenidae.
GAUGUGGUGGCACAGUGGUUGAGCAUGCUAGACUUAGGAUCAAAGGUCUGGAGUUCGAGUCCUUGCCACGGUC